Molecule: ribosomal RNA, 253 nt
Filed under: uncultured bacterium
Lineage: Bacteria
Description: partial 16S ribosomal RNA
Rfam family: Bacterial small subunit ribosomal RNA
Source: RNAcentral
UACGAAGGGGGCGAGCGUUGCUCGGAAUCACUGGGCGUAAAGCGCGCGUAGGCGGGUUCUUAAGGCAGGGGUGAAAUCCUGGGGCUCAACCCGAGAACGGCGCUUGAGACUGAGGAGCUUGAGUCCGGGAGAGGUGAGUGGAACUCCGGGUGUAGAGGUGAAAUUCGUAGAUAUGCGGAAGAACACCAGUGGCGAAGGCGGCUCGCUGGCCCGGGACUGGCGCUGAGGUGGGAAAGCGUGGGGAGCAAACAGG